This 371-nucleotide ribosomal RNA is filed under the name uncultured bacterium. RNAcentral's name for it is "bacterial SSU rRNA". It matches the Rfam family "Bacterial small subunit ribosomal RNA", at positions 527 to 896 of the family's 1533-position model. The record is from RNAcentral.
GUAGGGUCCGAGCGUUGUCCGGAAUUAUUGGGCGUAAAGAGCUCGUAGGCGGCCUGUCGCGUCUGCUGUGAAAGUCCGGGGCUUAACUUCGGGUGUGCAGUGGAUACGGGCAGGCUUGAGGUAGGUAGGGGAGACUGGAAUUCCUGGUGUAGCGGUGAAAUGCGCAGAUAUCAGGAGGAACACCGGUGGCGAAGGCGGGUCUCUGGGCCUUACCUGACGCUGAGGAGCGAAAGCGUGGGGAGCGAACAGGAUUAGAUACCCUGGUAGUCCACGCCGUAAACGUUGGGCGCUAGGUGUGGGGACUUUCCACGGUUUCCGUGCCGUAGCUAACGCAUUAAGCGCCCCGCCUGGGGAGUACGGCCGCAAGGCUA